CAAUAGCGUAUAUUAAAGUUGUUGCAGUUAAAAAGCUCGUAGUUGGAUUUCGGGGCAGCCUGGCUGGUCCGCCGCAAGGCGAGUACUGGUCAGCCGCCCUUCCUCUCGAAAGCCCCGACUGCUCUUCGCUGCAGUGGUCGGGUAGUUCGGGACGUUUACUUUGAAAAAAUUAGAGUGUUCAAGGCAGGCCUACGCCUGAAUACAUUAGCAUGGAAUAAUGGAAGAGGACCUCGGUCCUAUUUUGUUGGUUUCCAGGGCCGAAGUAAUGAUUAAGAGGGACAGUUGGGGGCAUUCGUAUUUAAUUGUCAGAGGUGAAAUUCUCGGAUUUAUGAAAGACGAACAACUGCGAAAGCAUUUGCCAAGGAUGUUUUCAUUAA
RNAcentral lists this ribosomal RNA (377 nucleotides) under uncultured eukaryote. RNAcentral's name for it is "partial 18S ribosomal RNA". It matches the Rfam family "Eukaryotic small subunit ribosomal RNA", at positions 592 to 976 of the family's 1831-position model. The record is from RNAcentral.